Long non-coding RNA from Caenorhabditis elegans, 286 nucleotides. Ensembl annotates it as ncRNA. Its record names the gene linc-100. The record is from Ensembl. NCBI's taxonomy places the organism in Eukaryota, Metazoa, Nematoda, Chromadorea, Rhabditida, Rhabditidae.
UCAAUACAAAACAAACAGACCUUUACAUCGCUCCACGUGGAACGAGUCCUUGAUCUCCAACUUGCCCCGAAUUGUCAUUGAAACCGCUAUCGGUUUCUGGCUGCUAUCAGCUUAUCACUGUCAAGUCAGUUUUGCAGAAACCAAAAUUGCAACACCUUGAUAAAGUUUUUUUUUAGUUUCUAUUCACAAAUUUUUAGUUUCAGUCUCAGUUCCUUCUCACCUAUUCCUCGCAUUUUGCUUGUAAGAAAGAACCAAAUUUUUGAAUGAAAUUUUUUUUUGGGUUUUG